CCUACGGGAGGCAGCAGUGGGGGAUAUUGCACAAUGGGGGGAACCCUGAUGCAGCGACGCCGCGUGGGUGAAGAAGCGCCUCGGCGCGUAAAGCCCUGUCAGCAGGGAAGAAAAUGACGGUACCUGAAGAAGAAGCACCGGCCAACUACGUGCCAGCAGCCGGGGCAAUAAGUGGGGGGCAAGCGUUAUCCGGAUUUACUGGGUGUAAAGGGGGCGCAGACGGCGAUGCAAGCCAGGAGUGAAAGGCCGGGGCCCAACCCCCGGACUGCUUUUGGAACUGGGUGGCUUGAGUGCGGGAGGGGCAGGCGGAAGUCCUGGUGUAGCGGUGAAAUGCGUAGAUAUCAGGAGGAACACCGGUGGCGAAGGCGGCCUGCUGGACUGCAACUGACGUUGAGGCCCGAAAGCGUGGGGAGCAAACAGGAUUAGAUACCCGGGUAGUC
This 440-nucleotide ribosomal RNA is filed under the name uncultured bacterium. Its description in RNAcentral is "partial 16S ribosomal RNA". It matches the Rfam family "Bacterial small subunit ribosomal RNA", at positions 338 to 795 of the family's 1533-position model. The record is from RNAcentral.